GGAUUAUACCAGUGGAGGUAGACUUGAGAGGGAGUUAGGAACAGAAACUGGUGAGACUUGGUGAUUGGGUAGGUAAGUAGGGGGCGAAUAAUGGAGUUCUCCAAGAUGACCCAUAGGUUUCUCCACUGGACAGCUAAGUGAAUCAUGAAGAAAAUAAAUGUUUUCUCUUUGGUUUUAGUGAUGAAGGGAGAAAUGAUAGAUUCAGUUUUGAGCAUAUUAAGUUUCAAAUGCCUACGGCGUCGUCUGAGACAUGCUCCAGAGGAAGUUGGAUAUCUCUCUCUGAAGCUCAUGAGAGAAAUAGAGAUUGAUUGGAGAUACAGAUUUGUGAGCCAUCAGAAGAUAAAUAAUUAAAGUUGUCUUUUGCUGAUGAAGCUGAAAGGACUCUUGCAAAUCGCUUCCUUUGACACAAUUUUAAAGUUCUCUCUUCUAGGCUGACUCCAACCAGUCCAUAAACUGAGAAAUAAAUCACAGAAGAAGGUUUAUAACGUUGGGAAAAGUCGUGUGAUCUUUUUCAGACAUUAGAGAGACCCAUAUGAUGGGAAAGCCACCAAAGUGACAGCUCGACUCUGUAGGUCUCCACACCCUACUUCCAAGUUCACCAUUUCAGCUCUUUGCAGGUAGACCUGGCAGACGGAACUACAUAAUCAAAGGCAAAGCAUGAAUGGAGGAAGUGUUUCCAAGGAUGUCUAGGCAGCAUGAUGUUAACAGUAUGUGCUGUUUGCAGGAAUAAUGAAGGACCCUGAAUGCCAUGUAUCGUCUCUCUAUUUCAUUCCAAAGAAAGGCCAUGUGAACCCCAGCAAGAUGGUGGCCAUCGACUAGCCUGGAAGAGAGCUCUCACCAGAAACGGACCAUGCUGCCACCCUGCUCUCAGACUUCCGGCCUCCAGAGCUGCCCCUCUUAUCUCCUCUGAGACAAGAAGUUAUUGUAUCCCUGCUAAGUGCUCAACAAGAUGCCUGUGGUUCCUGCCCUCAUGAAGCUGAGUCUGGGAGGAGAGGAUCAGAUAUCAGAUAACUAACUCUUAUUUUUACUUCUCUCUCUCUCCUUCCUAUAUUUCAUCUCCCUCUCUGUCUUCCUUCUCUCUCUCUCCCAUGCAUACUUCCCUUUUUUCGGUAGCACUCCCUUCUCCUUGGGCUCUGAGCCUUCUCUGUCUAUCCCUUUGAACUCAUUCUCAAGAGAGAAAUCUCUCUCUCUCUCUUUUUUUACCUCUCACGUUACUUGCCAAUUCCUUUCUUUCCCUGAUAUCCAAGACACUCAAAAAACAGUCUUCCGUAUACAUUCACCUGCCCCACUGACUGUCUUAAAGAAAGAGCUUAUAGUCUAUUGUUCGAAAUGUUGACCUCUCCCCUUUCUGGUUCACUUCCCUAGGUUCUGAU
Molecule: long non-coding RNA, 1373 nt
Filed under: Equus asinus (donkey)
Lineage: Eukaryota; Metazoa; Chordata; Mammalia; Perissodactyla; Equidae
Description: lncRNA (ENSEASG00005036857.1)
Source: RNAcentral